RNAcentral lists this ribosomal RNA (253 nucleotides) under uncultured bacterium. RNAcentral's name for it is "partial 16S ribosomal RNA". It matches the Rfam family "Bacterial small subunit ribosomal RNA", at positions 524 to 776 of the family's 1533-position model. The record is from RNAcentral.
AACGUAGGUGACGAGCGUUAUCCGGAUUUACUGGGCGUAAAGCGUGUGCAGGCGGUUGAGUAAGUGGUGUAUGAAAGCUCCGGGCUUAACUCGGAGAGGUUAUGCCAGACUGCUCGGCUUGAGGCAGAGAGAGGGACAUGGAAUUCCGGGUGUAGUGGUGAAAUGCGUAGAGAUCCGGAGGAACUCCAGAGGCGAAGGCGGCAACCUGGACAAGUACUGACACUCAACUACGAAAGCGUGGGGAGCAAACAGG